UACAGAGGGGGCAAGCGUUAUUCGGAAUUAUUGGGCGUAAAGGGCGCGUAGGCGGUUUUUUAAGUCGGGUGUGCAAUCCCCAGGCUCAACCUGGGAACUGCAUCUGAGACUGGAAGGCUAGAGUACUGGAGAGGGUGGUGGAAUUCCUCGUGUAGCGGUGAAAUGCGUAGAGAUGAGGAGGAACACCAGUGGCGAAGGCGGCCCCCUGGACCAUAACUGACGCUGAGGCGCGAAAGCGUGGGUAGCAAACAGG
This 253-nucleotide ribosomal RNA is filed under the name uncultured bacterium. RNAcentral describes it as "partial 16S ribosomal RNA". It matches the Rfam family "Bacterial small subunit ribosomal RNA", at positions 524 to 776 of the family's 1533-position model. The record is from RNAcentral.